RNAcentral lists this long non-coding RNA (5756 nucleotides) under Podarcis lilfordi (Lilford's wall lizard). Lineage: Eukaryota; Metazoa; Chordata; Lepidosauria; Squamata; Lacertidae. The record is from RNAcentral.
GUCAGUAUGUAACCAUGUUACAUUUUUCUACUAUUAAAGCUUUGUUUCAAAGAUAUACGCAAGCUGCUUACUUCACUGCAUGAGAAGACAAACUCUGCUAAAGAAGGAGAAGGUGGAAUAUCUUACACUGGGUGAGUGAGGAGGUAGUUCCCUGACAGGAGGAUUGAUUUUUAGUCACUCCCCUCUGCACAAUAUAUACAGUAUAUGUAAUAUACUGGAGGAGCGGGCUAAGCACACACACACCUGGUGGCCCAUGCUUGUUCGCGAUUCGCUGAUUAGCCGAUUAUCCAGAAAGCAAGCUCAGCCCAAAGGCUUUCUCUGCUGCUUGGGAAACAGUCCCUGGGACUUCCCAUGUCAGAUCACGGCACAUGAGGUAAUACCAGCCCACAAUCGCACGCACCAGAGAGGGUGAGUGGACUUGUGUGAAGUGGGGAGUCUUCUAUACUCAAGGAGACCUCCCUCACAUUUCAGAACCCUGAAAGACUCCCCACACCACACCAUCAUUUUCCAACUUUUACAGAACAACAGGAACAACAGUGUGAAGGGCAAAGCUGAUGUAGUUACUGUGCUCCAUACAGAACGGCUGAGGGAAGCAUUUUGGGUGAUGAAACAUGGGAUGAGGAAAAGGUAUUGUUGAAGCAGUUUGCCCUCACACAAUUCCAUCCACCUCCUGCCUCUUCCAAGGUCCUCUUGAUUUCAUUUCUCCCAGAGAGGAAAUUUGAGCCCAGAACUUUUACAAGAUCCGUAGUGCCAUAAAUUCUCCCCUUGCUGGGGUCGUUGUAUAACCAAAUGGCAUAAAUCCCUCACACUUUCUGUAUAAUUUUGUGGGAAUUUCUGAGUCAGUGAGAUUUCAUGUUUAUGAUUUAAUUCAUUUUAUGUUGCCGUUUCCUUUUUACACGCUUGUAUGCUGUUAUAAAAGUGAUUUAAAGAAAUUGGCUGAAUAAAGUGAAAGAUAAAAAGAAUCAAGCAUUAAAAAACAAACAAACAGGAAGAAGCAAAGGUGAGUGGAAGAGAUGCUGGCCCAGUACUGAAUGCGAAUGAAUCAUUUCUACAAUGGAGGCAAUAUUCUGAAGGACUGCACAAUGUGACAUUAGAGAAUUACUCUAACAAGAGUAUCCCUCCUACUCCAAUUGAUCUUUCCAUCAAUUGCUGUUCAUUUGCUAUGGAUGAAUUCACUAAGGUGGACAAGCAAAGCUAAGAAAAAGCACCUGGCAUAGAUCCCUGAAUGACUGCUGAAGUGCUUUUUGGCAGAAGGUAUGAAACCAAUUGGCAAACAUAAUUUGCUUGGGUGGUUUUUUCAUGGAAGGAUGGAAAGGGCAGGCACUGAAUUAAAUUCAUCCUUAACAAAAUCCACUGGAGGACCUCCGGGUAGAUACUGAGGAGUUAGGAACAGUCACAUUUAAAGUCAAAUAUACUUAAAUAGCACUUUCUGAAACAAUACGUACACAAAGGACAGCUAUCCAUCAAAAUGCACAUUUCUUCAAAUUUCGCAAUACAAUUUUCCAGCCAAGCAAUAUGUAAAAUAAAAAAGGCACAUACUAGGCUUAAGGUGCAUAAAAAUGUAUAUAUCGGUUAAAACAAACAAACAUUGACAUGCAUUAUAUUAGGGAAAGCCCUUUGCAAGAUGUGCAUAUUAGGCAAAAUCACAUACAAUGAAUAUGAGGAUGAUGAAUUUUCAUGCAGAUGUAAUUCCUCCCUCCACCCCAAACUGAUGUGGAAAUGUGGAGAAACAAAUUUAAGGUUGCAAAAAUGAAAAACCAAAACUUAGAGAUUUCUUUGCCCCUACAGGUAGAAGAUUGAUCCAAGUGAAAGGGGCCUUUCUCUCAUGCCCUCACGAUUUCUCUAAGCCAGUCCAUCACCCAUCUCUUGCCUUUGUAUUUGACUCAAUCCUCCACCAAUCAUCAGAUGGGAUGCUGUCCACUUGCCAACUUCCAUUUCCCCAGUGGAGGAAUCAUCUCAGCAAACUGUGCAAACCAAAGGAGAGAGAUGGAUAAGCUCCUUACACCCCUCUCCUGGAACAUUGCUUCUUGCGUUUAUAACUUAUUAAAAAGCGUUGACUUUUUUAUUAUUAGAAAUCCUCUCCAGCAAAAACUGGGGCAGUUUAAUAUAACCUCUAAGCCUGCCAAAGCCACAUGCAAUAAGUAAAAAGCAGGUUAUCCCCGGAUCUCCAGCUUGCUCACUUUACUUGCACUGAUUACUUAUUAAGUAUUCAUAGUGAGCUUGGCACUUGAAAGCUGGGGAAAGACAACACAACUCUUGCUUCCCCUAAUACAAUUUCAUCAUCCAAAGAGACAAGAAACCCAAACUGUACUGCGCAACCCUGAGGAGGACUGUAACCGGGCAGAUUUUCAUAAAUAUCACUCUUCUCUUGACUGUUAUGGCAACCACAUGUCUAGGGUUCUACACUGAGAAGGGAGCCUCCAUGAGAAGAAGCAGGCUCCCUGCUGCAGAUAACCACCCAGGGUAAGGAGAAUAGCGGGCAGAGCUAGCACACUCAAUUCUAUCCAUCCCCACCAUACAUGUGUUGUUUCACUCCAUUUCCAGCACAUGUAAACAAAGACUAUGAAGGCAUCAGAGACUGAUUCAGGGCAUUGUGACAGGCCCACUCACCUUCCCCAGUGGGCGGUGUUGCGGCGGGGCAUCUGGGACCUCCCAGUGACUCGGAUAGAGGGCAGAGGUAUGCCAGCCACGUCAUAGGAAUUCCUGGCUGCGUCACAUCCCUGGCUGACUAAUUGGUGCAGCCGGGGGCGUGGCCACUUGCCGUUUAAACAGUGGCGUGGCUGGGGGGGCAUCCUCCUUUCGCCUCCUCACCGGAUCUCCCAGCCCACCCUCCCUCUUUUUAUGUGUUCCUAUGAUUUUGGCCUUGCUAAGGACUAAUGUCGGCCGCCAUAUUGUUGGGAAUUUUUCCACUUGGUAAAUAGGCACCAGCCAUUUGUUUUUUGCCUAAGGUAAAGGGCCCCUGACCAUUAGGUCCAGUCGUGGCCGACUGGGGUUGCAGCGCUCAUCUCGCUUUAGAGGCCGAGGGAGCCGGCGUACAACUUCCGGGUCAUGUGGCCAGCAUGACUAAGCCACUUCUGGUAAACCAGAGCAGUGCACGGAAACGCCGUUUACCUUCCCACCGGAGCGGUACCUAUUUAUCUACUUGUACUUUGAUGUGCUUUCGAACUGCUAGGUUGACAGGAACAGGGACCGAGCAAUGGGAGCUCACCCCGUUGCAGGGAUUCGAACCGCCGACCUUCUGAUCGGCAAGUCCUAGCCUCUGUGGUUUAACCCACAGCGCCACCUGCGUCCCAGGUUUUCAUCUACCUUGUAGCAAUUGUCACAACUUUGUAAGUUUAGGCAUUGUGUAAGCCUUUGUUUAUGGGAGGGGAGGUUGUAGCCUUCGCCUGCCCCUCCUCAAUAAGGGUAUUCUGUUAAUGGGAUCUGGGUGUGUGGAUCCUGUCUGAAGCCUGGGCAUGGGCUAGGGCCAUGCCAUGACCCCAUCGGGGACCCUGGGGGUGCCCCAAUUUGACUUAUUUCAUAGGGCUCCCCCUACCCUUAGUGAGACUCCCUGCAGACGGGUAGGAGUCAGGAUAUAGUCUGGUUUCACCCAAUGCCUAAGCCAAACCGCUCACAUCUGUAACCAAUAAAGUUGUGGCCUAUUUUAUCCCAUUGACCUAAUAUAUUUGUGUCCAUGUGUUUAUUAUCUAAGGCAACUGCGGGGCCCAGGGCGUCAUCACGGAAGUUCCACUGCACUGGGCAUCAAGCCUAGGAAGUGUCACAGGACUUCAUCAAAGCAAUGAUAUAGUGACUUGAGCAGAACAGAAGAUGACAAGUUGGGGGCACCAAAUUUUGGCCUUGCACAGGGUGCCACUGAGAUUUGAAAGACCAAAGUCUGCCCCUAGAGGCAUGCGAGAGAGAAGACAAAGAGCAGGGAGAUGAAAGCAACAUGAGGGGGUCAUUGUAGGACUUGCCAUUAGAGUGGAGUUGAGAAUUAGGACAACUGUGUGGUGAGAGAGGUGUAUGAGACCUAUGGCAGACAGGGACGAAAGAGGGGGGUUGGGCAAUGUGAUUGUGGAGAGCAUGGGGUUAGGAGUUACGAGGCCUUCACUUAGAGCAUGGUGCUGAUAACACCAAGGUGGCAGGUUUGAUCCCCAUAUAGGACAGGUGCAGACCCUGAAUUGCAGGGGGUUGGCAAGAUGAUCCUUAGGGUGCCUUGCAACUCAACAAUUCUAUGAUUAUAUGUGCUUGGAAUUAUGCUACAUAUUUUUGAAGGAGUCAAAAUACAUGUCAGCCUUUAUAUCUGCCACACAGGACAGCGUGCAGAAAAAUACUGGAUAUUCCAAGUUUCCUUUUCUGUGGCCUGUUGGCCAUGUGGAAAAUGUUAGGCAUGCUUGUACUUAGCCUUUAUACAGUCCCUGUGAAAAUCACACUGUGCUGUUCGGAUUGCAAUGCAUGUAAGAUGUUGGGCAUUUCUCAUCAAGCCCUAGAAACCAUUUGCAUUGUUUGCCAAAGGGUAUUGUGGUCAGAGAGUGAAAUGUACUGUUUCACACUCCCUUGAGCAGUGGAAGUCCCUGGGCAGCUUUAAAUAGUCAGCUUCCUUUCUACCAAGGACUUGUGGGUGUUUUGUAAUAUUAUGCUUGCAGAUGGAGAGAAGGCAAUAUGCAAAGAAGCACACAUCUUGUGCCCGGGAUGCAAAGUAAUGUCACUUUCAAAGCAACAUUAGCCGUGGAAGCCCUCUAGCUUUCGCCAGCAAGCUCUAAACAAAUAAUAUAAAAUCCCUCUAGAGCUGCUUCUCUCUCUCUGAUCUUGUGCACCCCAUAACUUUUGUGUACAUUAAUGUAUGACAGCCAUUCACUCCCUUAGGAUACACUAAAGGACAGGAUUUUGGAAUACCGUUGUGGUGGAGGCAAGUUCUUCGUCCCUGUGGUGUUUGCCCGUUCUUUCGAAAAUGUCUGUACAGGGGGAGAGAAAGGGUUAAUAGGUAGACCAAUAGAAAAGCCAGAGGUGGAGCCUACCUGUUUAUAAAAGGGCUUAGUCCAAGUUUGAGAGAGCCAGUGUGAUGUAGUGGUUAAGAGCGGUAGUCUCGUAAUCUGGGGAACCGGGUUUGCGUCUCCGCUCCUCCACAUGCAGCUGCUGGGUGACCUUGGGCCAGUCACACUUCUUUGAAGUCUCUCAGCCCCACUCACCUCACAGAGUGUUUGUUGUGGGGGAGGAAGGGAAAGGAGAAUGUUAGCCGCUUUGAGACUCCUUAAAGGGAGUGAAAGGCGGGAUAUCAAAUCCAAACUCUUCUUCUUCUUCUGAGUUAGCUAGUUAGUGGGUAGUUUGUUGGUUUUAGUUGGUUGGUUGGUUGGUUGGGAAAGGCAGUUGUGAAAGCAGUUGGCAGACAGUUGGAAAUAGAGAGACAGUUAGUGCAGUGGGUUCUUGUGUGAGGGGAGGUAGAAGAGUUAGAGACAGGAUAAAAUAAGACUGAAAAGGUAAAGAGUAACAACGUUUUGAAUGCAGUUAAAGUUUAUUUGUAUUUGCAAUAAACUACACUCUUCUUUGUUAACUUAAGAACCUGACUGAGACUAAGUGAUUUACCGGGGAGGACCUGGUUGGUGGCAGCGGAUUAGUGGUGUAUGGGUCAAUAGUCCGUGAGACGACCAGGGGCUCCGUACGAACGCCACAAUCCCCUUCUCUGAAAAUGGGCUGCCUGUAACUGAGUUGUCACACAAUUCAUAUCAAGGGACAAUGCCAGUGAACUGGAAGGUUCUUUCUGAGGUAUAAGAUCUGAG